GAUGAAGAACGCAGUGAAAUGCGAUACGUAAUGUGAAUUGCAGAAUUCAGUGAAUCAUCGAGUCUUUGAACGCACAUUGCGCCCCCUGGUAUUCCGGGGGGCAUGCCUGUCCGAGCGUCAUUGCUGCCCUCAAGCACGGCUUGUGUGUUGGGCCUCCGCCCCCCGGCUCCCGGGGGGCGGGCCCGAAAGGCAGCGGCGGCACCGCGUCCGGUCCUCGAGCGUAUGGGGCUUCGUCACCCGCUCCGUAGGCCCGGCCGGCGCCCGCCGGCGACCCCCCUCAAUCUUUCCAGGUUGACCUCGGAUCAGGUAGGGAUACCCGCUGAACUUAAGCAUAUCAAAUAAGCGGAGGA
This 350-nucleotide unclassified non-coding RNA is filed under the name soil metagenome. RNAcentral's name for it is "partial contains 5.8S ribosomal RNA, internal transcribed spacer 2, and large subunit ribosomal RNA". The stretch from base 1 to 120 matches the Rfam family "5.8S ribosomal RNA", at positions 35 to 154 of the family's 154-position model. The record is from RNAcentral.